This 253-nucleotide ribosomal RNA is filed under the name uncultured bacterium. RNAcentral describes it as "partial 16S ribosomal RNA". It matches the Rfam family "Bacterial small subunit ribosomal RNA", at positions 524 to 776 of the family's 1533-position model. The record is from RNAcentral.
UACGGAGGGGGCGAGUGUUGUUCGGAAUUACUGGGCGUAAAGCGUGCGCAGGCGGUUUUGUAAGCCAGAUGUGAAAGCCCCGGGCUUAACCUGGGAAUGGCAUUUGGGACUGCAAGGCUUGAGUGCGGCAGAGGAGACUGGAAUUCCUGGUGUAGCAGUGAAAUGCGUAGAUAUCUGGAGGAAUACCGGUGGCGAAGGCGGCAUCCUGGACCGGCAUUGACGCUGAGGAGCGAAAGCCAGGGGAGCAAACGGG